GAUGAACGCUGGCGGCGUGCCUAAUACAUGCAAGUCGAGCGAACGGACGAGAAGCUUGCUUCUCUGAUGUUAGCGGCGGACGGGUGAGUAACACGUGGAUAACCUACCUAUAAGACUGGGAUAACUUCGGGAAACCGGAGCUAAUACCGGAUAAUAUUUUGAACCGCAUGGUUCAAAAGUGAAAGACGGUCUUGCUGUCACUUAUAGAUGGAUACCGGCUGCAUUGGAUAGUUGGUAAGGUAAAGGCUUACCAAGGCAACGAUGCAUAGCCGACGUGAUAGGGGGGUCGGCCACACUGGAACUGGGACACGGACCUGAGUCCUACGGGAGGCAGCAGUAGGGUAUCUUCCGCAGUGGGCGAGAGUCUGACGGAGCAACGCCGCGUGAGAGAUGAAGGUCUUCGGAUCGUAAAACUCUGUUAUGAGGGAAGAACAUAUGUGUAAGUAACUGUGCACAUCUUGACGGUAACUAAUCAGAAAGCCACGGCUAACUACGUG
RNAcentral lists this ribosomal RNA (497 nucleotides) under uncultured bacterium. RNAcentral describes it as "partial 16S ribosomal RNA". It matches the Rfam family "Bacterial small subunit ribosomal RNA", at positions 28 to 507 of the family's 1533-position model. The record is from RNAcentral.